UACGUAGGGUGCAAGCGUUGUCCGGAAUUAUUGGGCGUAAAGAGCUUGUAGGCGGUUUGUCGCGUCUGCUGUGAAAUUUCGGGGCUCAACCCCGAACUUGCAGUGGGUACGGGCAGACUAGAGUGUGGUAGGGGAGACUGGAAUUCCUGGUGUAGCGGUGAAAUGCGCAGAUAUCAGGGGGAACACCGAUGGCGAAGGCAGGUCUCUGGGCCACUACUGACGCUGAGAAGCGAAAGCAUGGGGAGCGAACAGG
Molecule: ribosomal RNA, 253 nt
Filed under: uncultured bacterium
Lineage: Bacteria
Description: partial 16S ribosomal RNA
Rfam family: Bacterial small subunit ribosomal RNA
Source: RNAcentral